Molecule: ribosomal RNA, 2712 nt
Filed under: Pinus taeda (loblolly pine)
Lineage: Eukaryota; Viridiplantae; Streptophyta; Pinopsida; Pinales; Pinaceae
Description: eukaryotic LSU rRNA
Rfam family: Eukaryotic large subunit ribosomal RNA (bases 1315-2712)
Source: RNAcentral
AAUACACAAUUAGCACUAAAGCACUAAUCACAUAUCGCAGGGCGUCCCCCUCAAGUGAAAGAAAGCCCUAAGUGCCCAGACCCAAAAAUACUAUGAAAUUUAGAAAAGUAAUUAAUUUGGUUCUGUAGAUUCCACAAAAUCGGCAGGAUAUUGGAAGGCCUCGAGGUGGUAAGUAGUUUCAACCGAGUCCCUCCCAAUGCCGCACAUUGAGUGACAUGUGUCCAGUGGAAGAGAGAGAAAAUUUCUCACAUCGGAUAAGUAAAUUUCAUGCUACUUACCUGCCCGAUAUGAACAACAACCAUAGGAUUGGGGGGCCCAGAUCAAUGGUAGAGACACAUCCCAAUAAAUGACGGAUUUGGAAAGGUUAUAAAGCAAGAUUACAUGGGAUUUGAAGUCUAACAUGGACGAUGAUUUGGCAAAAGAUUCGUGUUUCAUGGGCAGUCUUGGAGUAAAUGCAAAUAACGACCAUUCAAACAUUUCCAAGAGAACUGACACUCGUUCGUUAUGAAACAGGUGGCCACCUCCCUAAGAAGUGUUAUACAGUGAUGAUGACGUAGAAUAGGGGAAUUCAAAUGGAUAGAGGCAGAAGAACUAGAAUGCUGGAAGCGGAAACGAACAGUAAAAGAACAUACUAGCUUUAAAGCCAUGAACUAACAGAAGCAUAGGAAACAAAGGAGAGUUAGUUAGACACAGAAGCUAAGAGCAGCGAAUAGAGAGAAGAAGCCAAUCUAACCUGAAGGCAACAUCUAGCUAGAUAGAGCUAAAGAGAGUUGGAGAGUUUGUGUACUCUAGAGAAAGCUUGAGAGGUUCAAGUGAGCUCCUUGGCAUAAGCCUAUCAUGUAUGAGCCUCAGAUUGGGCUCAUACUACUGUGACUAAUAAGGGUCAAGUUUCAGUAAGGAGAGUCUAUCUACUCCAGAGACUUGAAGAAUCUAAAUCCAAUCCUACUAAUUUUAAUUUGUUUAGUGAGACUCGAAUUGAGCUCACUAUUGUAAAAACUCUGCUUUGAAAACAUAAUAGAGAGGCCACAACUGAAGGUUGCACCAGGAGACAUAGCCCAGAAGCAUCAGGUGAACUCCUUAUUAAACUUGUUGUGUUUAUAUGUUUUCCUGUUAUGUUUUCUCUAACUACCUCAGUGUCUAUGUAUUUCAUAAUCUUAUCGAUCCAUUGCAUAAAGUAACAUAGGCACAUCCAUGCACAUUAGUCUAUAAUACCUCUAAUUCUUUGUCCUGGAUAAAUUCCAUAUCAUCGAGUACCGUUCAUGCCUAGUUGUACUAAUAACUGCAUCAGGUCUACAAGAUGAACAACAUAUGGUCAAUAGAAUAGUGUAGUUAAGGGAAGUCGACAAAACAGAUCCAUAACUUUGGGAAACAUAUUGACUCUAAGGCCUAGGCCUAGUGGUUUGCGCCCUCAACUCGUGGGUUGUCGACAGUCUUCCUGAGCUACUCUCGUGGCGAGGGCAGGCAGUCGCGUACCAAUAGGCUAUGUGCAUGGAAUUCCCCCUACUAGGGGAUUUUCCCUAGGUAGAAAACGAUCGACUCAGAACUAGUACGUACAAGGGGAAUUUGACUAUUUAAUUAAAAUAAAGCAUUGUGAUGGUCCCUAUGGAUUCUAACGCAAUAUGAUUUUUUCCCAGUGCUCUAGAUGUCAAAGUGAAGAAAUUCAAACAAGCGUGGGUAAAUGUCGGGAGUAACUAUGACUCUCUUAACGUAGCCAAAUGCCUUGUCAUAUAAUUAGUGACGUGCAUGAAUGGAUUAAAGAGAUUCCCAUUGUCUCUAUCUACUAUCUAGCAAAACCUCAACCAAGGAAACGAGCUUGGUAGAAUCAACAGGUAAAGAAGACCCUGUUGAGCUUGACUCUAGUCUGAAUUUGUGAAAUGACUUGAGAGGUGUAGAAUAAGUGGGAUCAUUUUUCGGUAGAAGUGAAAUAACACUACUUUUAAUGUUAUUUUACUUAUUUCGCGGGGCGGAGACAGGGAACUACCCCUGUUUUUGGCGUUAAGGCAUGUUUCAGCUAGUUUUUCUAAGUGUAAGACAUUGUUAGGUGGGGAGUUUGGCUAGAUAAGAACAUCUAUUAAAAUAUAACGCAGGUGUUCUAAGAUGAGCUCAACAAGAACAAAAAUAUCAUGUGGAAAAAAGGGUAAAAUCUCAUUUGAUUUUGAUUUUCAGUAUGAAUACAAACCGUCAAUGUGUGGCCUAAUGAUCCUUUAGAUUUUUGGAAUUGGAAGCUAGUGGUGUCAGAAAAGUUACCACAGGGACAACUAGCUUGUGGCAACCAAGUGUUCAUAGAGACAUUACUUUUUUAUCCUUCGAUGUUGGCUCUUCCUAUCAUUGUGAAGCAGAAUUCACCAAGUGUUGGAUUGUUCACCCACUAAUAGGGAACGUGAGUUGGGUUUAGACCAUCGUGAGACAGGUUAGUUUUACCCUACUGAUGAAUCACACUGCAAUAGUAAUUCAAAUUAGUAUGAGAGGAACUGUUGAUUUACAAAAUUGGUCAUUGUGCUUGGUUGAAAAUCUAGUGGCAUGAAGCUACCAUGCGUAUGAUUAUGACUGAACACCUCUAAGUCAGAAUCCAUACUAGAAGUAGUGCAUGUCACUCUUCUACUGUAUCUUGACCUGUAGUAGGGGAAUUGCUUUGUCGCCCCUAGGGGCUCGUGUCAUUUCAAGACAACGAUCGUGAAGCAUCUUGAUCUGGGCAGCUUUGAAGUUCAAUUC